GACGAACGCUGGCGGCGUGCGUAACACAUGCAAGUCGAGCGGUAAGGCCCUUUCGGGGGUACACGAGCGGCGAACGGGUGAGUAACACGUGGGUGACCUGCCCUCAGCUCUGGGAUAAGCCUGGGAAACCGGGUCUAAUACCGGAUAUGACUCCAUGACGCAUGUUGUGGGGUGGAAAGCCUUGUGCGGCUGAGGAUGGGCCCGCGGCCUAUCAGCUUGUUGGUGGGGUGAUGGCCUACCAAGGCGACGACGGGUAGCCGGCCUGAGAGGGCGACCGGCCACACUGGGACUGAGACACGGCCCAGACUCCUACGGGAGGCAGCAGUGGGGAAUCUUGCGC
Molecule: ribosomal RNA, 340 nt
Filed under: uncultured bacterium
Lineage: Bacteria
Description: bacterial SSU rRNA
Rfam family: Bacterial small subunit ribosomal RNA
Source: RNAcentral